GCGGGCUUAGUACAAUGGUAGUACAGAGGCUUCCCAAGCCUCGGACACGGGUUCGAUCCCCGUAGCCCGCUCCC
Molecule: transfer RNA, 74 nt
Filed under: Acidobacteriota bacterium
Lineage: Bacteria; Pseudomonadati; Acidobacteriota
Description: Acidobacteria bacterium tRNA-Gly
Rfam family: tRNA
About the family: Transfer RNA (tRNA) molecules are approximately 80 nucleotides in length. Their secondary structure includes four short double-helical elements and three loops (D, anti-codon, and T loops). Further hydrogen bonds mediate the characteristic L-shaped molecular structure. tRNAs have two regions of fundamental functional importance: the anti-codon, which is responsible for specific mRNA codon recognition, and the 3' end, to which the tRNAs corresponding amino acid is attached (by aminoacyl-tRNA synthetases). tRNAs cope with the degeneracy of the genetic code in two manners: having more than one tRNA (with a specific anti-codon) for a particular amino acid; and 'wobble' base-pairing, i.e. permitting non-standard base-pairing at the 3rd anti-codon position.
Source: RNAcentral